GCCGUGAUCGUCUAGUGGUUAGGACUCCACGUUGUGGCCGUGGCAACCCAGGUUCGAAUCCUGGUCUCGGCA
Molecule: non-coding RNA, 72 nt
Organism: Scaptodrosophila lebanonensis
Lineage: Eukaryota; Metazoa; Arthropoda; Insecta; Diptera; Drosophilidae
Source: the annotation of a RefSeq genome assembly